AACGAACGCUGGCGGCAUGCCUAACACAUGCAAGUCGAACGUGACCUUCGGGUCUAGUGGCGCACGGGUGCGUAACGCGUGGGAACCUGCCCUUAGGUUCGGAAUAACUCCCCGAAAGGGGUGCUAAUACCGGAUAAUGUCUUCGGACCAAAGAUUUAUCGCCUUUGGAUGGGCCCGCGUUGGAUUAGCUAGUUGGUAGGGUAAAAGCCUACCAAGGCGACGAUCCAUAGCUGGUCUGAGAGGAUGAUCAGCCACACUGGGACUGAGACACGGCCCAGACUCCUACGGGAGGCAGCAGUGGGGAAUAUUGGACAAUGGGCGAAAGCCUGAUCCAGCAAUGCCGCGUGAGUGAUGAAGGCCGUAGGGUUGUAAAGCUCUUUUACCCGGGAUGAUAAUGACAGUACCGGGAGAAUAAGCUCCGGCUAACUCCGUG
This 433-nucleotide ribosomal RNA is filed under the name uncultured bacterium. Its description in RNAcentral is "partial 16S ribosomal RNA". It matches the Rfam family "Bacterial small subunit ribosomal RNA", at positions 29 to 507 of the family's 1533-position model. The record is from RNAcentral.